GCGGAUGUGGUGGAAUUGGUAGACACGCCAGACUUAGGAUCUGGUGCCGCAAGGCGUGGAGGUUCAAGUCCUCUCAUCCGCACCA
Molecule: transfer RNA, 85 nt
Filed under: Sulfurospirillum sp.
Lineage: Bacteria; Pseudomonadati; Campylobacterota; Epsilonproteobacteria; Campylobacterales; Sulfurospirillaceae
Description: tRNA-Leu
Rfam family: tRNA
About the family: Transfer RNA (tRNA) molecules are approximately 80 nucleotides in length. Their secondary structure includes four short double-helical elements and three loops (D, anti-codon, and T loops). Further hydrogen bonds mediate the characteristic L-shaped molecular structure. tRNAs have two regions of fundamental functional importance: the anti-codon, which is responsible for specific mRNA codon recognition, and the 3' end, to which the tRNAs corresponding amino acid is attached (by aminoacyl-tRNA synthetases). tRNAs cope with the degeneracy of the genetic code in two manners: having more than one tRNA (with a specific anti-codon) for a particular amino acid; and 'wobble' base-pairing, i.e. permitting non-standard base-pairing at the 3rd anti-codon position.
Source: RNAcentral